This is a non-coding RNA of Chelonoidis abingdonii (Abingdon island giant tortoise), 733 nucleotides long. NCBI's taxonomy places the organism in Eukaryota, Metazoa, Chordata, Testudines, Testudinidae. The record is from the annotation of a RefSeq genome assembly.
GGAGAGCUACCAUUGGAUCCUGCUUAAACAACUCAUUUCCUCUCCCCAGCUGCACCUCUCUCCUUGUCUCUCCAUCUGAGGGGCUAUUUCAGAGUCCUCUGUUUCAAGCUCAACCCAACCAGUGAGAAUGUUACUGCUGCAGGUUCUUAUUGUGACUUCAACAUGGUCUUAUGGAUCUUCGCAAAUAACUCUGAUACAAACUCCACUGUCUGUCACCAUUGCGGGAACUAAAAGUGCAUCUAUGAGGUGUAAAAUUUCUGGCGAAAGUUUUAAUUUUAACAGUGCUUAUAUACACUGGUAUCGACAGAUCCCUGGGAAAGCUCCAGAGAGGAUUUUGUAUAUUGCAUCAGGAUCAGCUAUUAUGGAUCCAGGCUUUGAUAAAAAAAAGUUUAUAGCUGAUAGUUACGUUUCUGUGUCCACCUCUAAGCUCACAGUACACCAACUAACCCGAGAGGAUGCUGCUACCUAUUAUUGUGCCACCUGGGUUCGCACAGUACUAGAAAGCCAUAGACAACCUGUACAAAAACCCACUCUGCAUUCUGAGCCAAGUGUAUGAAACCAGACAGAUCCCUUAUACUUCCUCUCUACUUGGAACCAGCUGUAGAAACUCCUGACUGGUUUUUGCACUCUGACAGGAAGAACAACAGUGUAGGACUGCAGUUUUGAAUUAUAUUUUGUUAUAAAUCGUCACAAGACCUUUUAGAGCUGGACAAAGUUGUUUUGGCAUAUAGUU